AUGGACCUUCAGAUAUCUGAUUGAGAUUUCUUUUACUAGCAAGUUAGUUUAGGCAAAGGUUAUCCAAUUGUUUUGAAAACACACUGUAUUGUUUUCUAAAGUAUUAGCUAGGCCUGGUUUAUUAUAACUCGCCGUGUGCUUCACAUUAUAAACCCUACUCACUCUCUCAUCAUGGACGAGGAAUAUUACGAGAGGAAUAUUGGAGACUGGGAUGGUCCGGAUGGCAAUCAGGACGACUAUGUUGAAGGGGAGAAUGAUGGGAAAGUUCAGGAGGACUGCCUACAGAAGUUCUCCAGCAGAGAUUACAUCAUGGAGCCUGCUGUAUUCAACACCCUUAAAACGUAAACACACUAUCGCGUGUGCCUGCCUAGUAACGUUAGUGUGUGAAGAGUUAAACCAUUUCCUGCAGAGGCUUCUGAGAUAUUUUCAGGCUGGUGGCUCCCCUGAACGCGUCAUCCAGCUCCUGUCAGAGAACUACUCCGCUGUGGCCCAGACUGUCAACCUGCUGGCAGAGUGGCUCUUCCAGAUGGGUGUAGAUCCAGCUCAGGUGCAGGAACGGGUAGAGAAUCACUUGAAGAGUCUGCUGACCAAGCACUUUGACCCCCAGAAGGCUGACUCCAUCUUUACCGUGGAGGGAGAGGUGUAGGAUUUGAUUGCCUCACCAUACACUUCGGACUUUGUCCAGCUGUUCCUGCCCAUCCUGGAGAACGACAGCGUCGCUGGAACCAUUCGGACAGAAGGAGAACAUGACCCUGUUGCGGAGUUUAUAGCCCACUGAAAAUCCAACUUCAUCAUGAUGAACUGAGAAUGACAAUGGUUUGGUUUAACUUGACUGAGGAUGUAGCGGGAAGACCAGGACCUUUUGGUUAUGAGCCAAUCCCUGGAUGUGUUCUGCUGAACGAGGACUGGAACAUUGCCGAUUUUGAGGCUGACCACUUGGGUGUAAACUUUCACCUGCAACUUUUUAUUUUCAAAUGUGGUGUAAACACAUGACUCAGAAUUAGGAUGUUUAUUAUUGCGUCUCUGGAGGUAUGUGGAGAACUCGUGCAUCUCCAUUCAUUUCACUGUAGUUUCCAUUAGUAUGAGCUAAAGUUUAGGUCUGUUAAUAUGUAUGUAUGACUGACUGUUAACUA
Oncorhynchus gorbuscha (pink salmon) is the source of this 1133-nucleotide RNA transcript. It is a transcript of the gene named negative elongation factor D-like, with no coding region annotated. The record is from RefSeq and is a predicted model, not a curated record. NCBI's taxonomy places the organism in Eukaryota, Metazoa, Chordata, Actinopteri, Salmoniformes, Salmonidae. The transcript is spliced from 5 exons.